This 208-nucleotide unclassified non-coding RNA is filed under the name plant metagenome. Its description in RNAcentral is "partial contains small subunit ribosomal RNA, internal transcribed spacer 1, and 5.8S ribosomal RNA". The record is from RNAcentral.
UUUCCGUAGGUGAACCUGCGGAAGGAUCAUUCAUAGUAAGUGUUUUAUGGCACUUUUUUAAAUCCAUAUCCACCUUGUGUGCAAUGUCAGGGUUGGUCUCUUUUUGAUCAGCCCCAAACAUCAACUAUUAUCUCAACUCUUUGUCUGAAAAAUAUUAUGAAUAAAACAAUUCAAAAUACAACUUUCAACAACGGAUCUCUUGGCUCUC